UACGUAGGGGGCUAGCGUUGUCCGGAAUCAUUGGGCGUGAAGAGCGCGUAGGCGGCCAGAUAAGUCCGGUGUGAAAGUCAAAGGCUCAACCUUUGAAUGCCGCUGGAAACUGUCUGGCUAGAGUCCGGGAGGGGCGAGUGGAAUUCCUGGUGUAGCGGUGAAAUGCGUAGAUAUCUGGAGGAACACCGGUGGCGAAGGCGGCAUCCUGGACCGGUAUUGACGCUGAGGCGCGAAAGCUAGGGGAGCAAACGGG
Molecule: ribosomal RNA, 253 nt
Filed under: uncultured bacterium
Lineage: Bacteria
Description: partial 16S ribosomal RNA
Rfam family: Bacterial small subunit ribosomal RNA
Source: RNAcentral